Molecule: long non-coding RNA, 298 nt
Organism: Octopus sinensis (East Asian common octopus)
Lineage: Eukaryota; Metazoa; Mollusca; Cephalopoda; Octopoda; Octopodidae
Exons: 4
Source: RefSeq, a predicted model, not a curated record
GUGUUGGUGGAACUCCUCAAACAAAAAGUUGUUGAUUUUACUCGAGCUGCCAGAAAAGCCCGUUUGAAAUCUUCCUUGAUUUGGUUGGCCAAAAAGAUGAAGAUGAUUCAGUACCUUGAAGACACAUACCCGAACAGUGCAUCUAUCCAAGAUUUAUUAGUGAAUUCAAAGGUGAAGCAAACAGACAUGUUUACAGCUGUGGUGAUGUUAAAUGAAAUGCAGAAGAGGGGCCUCAUCAAAGAGGUUGACAAAGGAAUGUGGAUGAGGGUUCCUAUCAGUCAGCAAAACAGCUCUAACA